ACUGUUCAAACACCGUUAUGACAGGGAUCGAGGAUUGGAACAUCCUCGUGAACGAGGAAUUCCUAGUAAGCGUGGUUCAUCAUACCACAUUGAUUACGUCCCUGCCUUUUGUACACACCGCCCGUCGCUCCUACCGAUGGGACGAAGAGAUGAACCUGGCGGACCAAACCGUAAGGUGAGGGAAACCA
This 188-nucleotide ribosomal RNA is filed under the name Naegleria fowleri. RNAcentral describes it as "partial 18S ribosomal RNA". It matches the Rfam family "Eukaryotic small subunit ribosomal RNA", at positions 1550 to 1757 of the family's 1831-position model. The record is from RNAcentral. Lineage: Eukaryota; Heterolobosea; Eutetramitea; Acrasida; Naegleriidae.